Molecule: long non-coding RNA, 1272 nt
Filed under: Chloebia gouldiae (Gouldian finch)
Lineage: Eukaryota; Metazoa; Chordata; Aves; Passeriformes; Passeridae
Description: Erythrura gouldiae (Gouldian finch) lncRNA (ENSEGOG00005009153.1)
Source: RNAcentral
AUGUCAAACCCAGGAAAAUCCCAAAUCCGGGGCAAAAUCCCAAAUUCCAAACACAGAGAAAAUCCCAAACUCAGAGCAAAUCCCAAAUCCCAAACCCAGAGCAAAUCCCAAAUCCCAAACCCAGAACAAAUCCCAAACCCCAAACUCAGAGCAAAUCCCAAAUCCCAAACCCAGCACAAAUCCCAAAUCCCGAACAAAUCCCAAAUCCCGAACAAACCCCAAACCCAGAACAAAUCCCAAACCCAGAGCAAAUCCCAAAUCCCAAACCCAGAGCAAAUCCCAAACUCAGAGCAAAUCCCAAAUCCCAAAUCCAGAGCAAANNNNNNNNNNAUCCCAAAUCCCAAAUCCAGAGCAAAUCCCAAACUCCAAACCCAGAGUAAAUCCCAAAUCCCAAACCCAGAACAAAUCCCAAACCCAGAGCAAAUCCCAAAUCCCAAACCCAGAGCAAAUCCCAAACUCAGAGCAAAUCCCAAAUCCCAAAUCCAGAGCAAAUCCCAAACUCAGAGCAAAUCCCAAAUCCCAAAUCCAGAGCAAAUCCCAAACUCCAAACCCAGAGUAAAUCCCAAACCCCAAACCCAGAGCAAAUCCCAAACCCAGAGCAAAUCCCAAAUCCCAAAUCCAGAACAAAUCCCAAAUCCCAAACCCAGAGCAAAUCCCAAAUCCCAAACCUGGAGCAAAUCCCAAACCCCAAACUCAGAGCAAAUCCCAAAUCCCAAAUCCAGAGCAAAUCCCAAACUCCAAACCCAGAGCAAAUCCCAAACCCAGAACAAAUCCCAAACGCAGAGCAAAUCCCAAAUCUCAAACCCAGAACAAAUCCCAAACCCCAAACUCAGAGCAAAUCCCAAAUUCCAAACCCAGAACAAAUCCCAAACCCAGAGCAAAUCCCAAACUUCAAACCCAGAACAAAUCCCAAACCCAGAGCAAAUCCCAAAUCCCAAACCCAGAGCAAAUCCCAAACCCAGAACAAAUCCCAAACUCCAAAUCCAGAAAAAAUCCCAAAUCCCAAACCCCAAACCCGGAGCAAAUCCAGGUUUUUCAUUCCAGGGGCUCCAACCAGCUGCAGAUUUUUGGGAUAUUCCACGAGCAGCAUCCCAAAAAUCCAACUCCUCGGGAUCCCAAAACCCGGCGCCACCUCGGCGCGCCCUCAAACGCUCCAAAGCCGCCGGGAUUUGGGGGAGAAAAUCCCAAAUUUGUGAUUCCAAACGGGAUCGGGGCGAGGGCCGGAGCCACCUGCUCUUCCCAGGAACCUCCAGAUCCCGGGAUCCGCCUUAA